This 273-nucleotide ribosomal RNA is filed under the name uncultured bacterium. Its description in RNAcentral is "partial 16S ribosomal RNA". It matches the Rfam family "Bacterial small subunit ribosomal RNA", at positions 524 to 796 of the family's 1533-position model. The record is from RNAcentral.
UACGAACCGGACAAACGUUAUUCGGAAUCAUUGGGCUUAAAGGGUGCGUAGGCGGCCGCGUAAGUCGGGUGUGAAAUCCCUCGGCUCAACCGAGGAAUUGCGCCCGAUACUGCGUGGCUCGAGGGAGACAGAGGCGAGCGGAACUGAUGGUGGAGCGGUGAAAUGCGUUGAUAUCAUCAGGAACACCGGUGGCGAAGGCGGCUCGCUGGGUCUCUUCUGACGCUCAUGCACGAAAGCUAGGGUAGCGAACAGGAUUAGAAACCCCUGUAGUCC